AAACUGACCACUAUAAAAGUGGAGAGUAGCUGACCACCAUCAUUGUUUAAACUUCUGUUGACAAGAAAUCAUACCAAGCACCAUGAGAACUUUCAUCGCUCUCGCCAUCUUGGCUGUUACCAUCGUCUGUGUAAACUCAGAGGGGUGCCGAAGCAAUUCCGACUGUGAAAACGGAUUAACAACGUGCGCAGCCAACCACGCCCUGACCUGCCAUAACCGUGCCUGUUACUGCGAGUCUCAAACCACCAACACCGGAAGCACAUGUGUGAGCAAAUCUGACUGUCCUUCCACUGCCAACUGCCACAACGGACGCGGUAACUACCAUUGUGUCGACGCUAAGUGCAGAUGUUUCUACUUCUAAGAACACCUAAUCGUUUGGAAACCGUCUGAGUUUUCUUCUUGAAUUCAUUAUUUUCGUUGUAUAUUUAUUAUUUAUUUAUUUAUUGAAUAAAGAAUAAACAAUUAAUA
This is a long non-coding RNA of Pecten maximus, 468 nucleotides long. RefSeq lists it as uncharacterized. The record is from RefSeq and is a predicted model, not a curated record. The transcript has 4 exons. NCBI's taxonomy places the organism in Eukaryota, Metazoa, Mollusca, Bivalvia, Pectinida, Pectinidae.